GCAGGCCCAGCGCGCCACCAUGGAGCGACAGCCCCGGCGGCCGCUGGGACCGCUGCAGCAGCAGAGGCAUCCGAGGAGGAACGGGGGCUGAAGCCGUGGCCUCCGGGUAGUGGGCCCGUGAACACCCGCCGUCCCCGAGCCCCGACUCCUCCUCCCUGCCUUCCCGGGCGCAGGCGGUGACCCUGCCGGACGAUGCGCGUCCCCGGCCGCCCCCGGGGCUGAGCCCGCCGCCCCGCGCUCGGCCCUCGCCCUCGCCGUCGUCCUCCAUGGCCUUACCGGGCGCCGAGGUCGCGGCUGACAGGCCGGGGUCGCCGGCGCCGGGCGCCCCCGCCGGCUCCGCGUCGUCGUCGUCCGCCUCCUCCGGCGGCUCGGCCUCGGCCUCGGCCUCGGCGGGAGCAGGGCUGUGGGCCGCGCUGUACGACUACGAGGCGCGCGGCGAGGACGAGCUGAGCCUGCGACGCGGCCAGCUGGUGGAGGUGCUGUCCCAGGACUCCGCCGUGUCGGGCGACGAGGGCUGGUGGGCCGGCCAGGUGCAGCGGCGCCUCGGCAUCUUCCCCGCCAACUACGUGGCGCCGUGCCGCCCGGCCACCCGCCCCGCGCCGCCGCCCGGCCGGCCGCCGCCGCCGCGGCCCGGCUCGCCGGUGCACGUCGACUUCGAGAGGCUGGAGCUCCAGGAGCUCAUCGGCGCUGGGGGUUUUGGGCAGGUGUACCGCGCCACCUGGCAGGGCCAGGAGGUGGCGGUGAAGGCGGCGCGCCGGGACCCGGACCAGGACGCGGCGGCGGCGGCCGAGAGCGUGCGGCGCGAGGCCCGGCUCUUCGCCAUGCUGCGGCACCCCAAUAUCAUCGAGCUGCGCGGCGUGUGCCUGCGGCAGCCGCACCUCUGCCUGGUGCUCGAGUUCGCCCGCGGCGGAGCGCUCAACCGCGCGCUGGCCGCCGCCAACGCCGCCCCGGACCCCCGCGCGCCCGGGCCGCGCCGCGCGCGCCGCAUCCCCCCGCACGUGCUGGUCAACUGGGCGGUGCAGAUCGCGCGGGGCAUGCUCUACCUGCACGAGGAGGCCGUCGUGCCCAUCCUGCACCGGGACCUCAAGUCCAGCAACAUAUUGCUGCUGGAGAAGAUAGAGCAUGAUGACGUCUGCAAUAAGACGUUGAAGAUUACAGAUUUUGGGUUAGCAAGAGAGUGGCACAGGACCACCAGGAUGAGCGCAGCAGGCACCUAUGCCUGGAUGGCCCCGGAAGUCAUCAAGUCCUCUUUGUUCUCCAAGGGAAGCGACAUCUGGAGCUAUGGAGUGGUGCUGUGGGAACUGCUCACGGGAGAGGUCCCCUAUCGUGGCAUUGACGGUCUUGCUGUGGCCUACGGGGUGGCAGUCAAUAAGCUCACUUUGCCCAUUCCUUCCACCUGCCCUGAGCCGUUUGCCAAGCUCAUGAAAGAAUGCUGGCAACAGGACCCUCAUAUUCGUCCAUCAUUUGCCUUAAUUCUUGAACAAUUGACUGCAAUUGAAAAGGCAGUUAUGACUGAAAUGCCUCAAGAAUCUUUUCAUUCCAUGCAAGAUGACUGGAAGCUGGAAAUUCAACAGAUGUUUGAUGAGUUGAGAACAAAGGAAAAGGAGCUGCGGUCCCGGGAGGAAGAGCUGACGCGGGCCGCCCUGCAGCAGAAGUCACAGGAGGAGCUGCUCAGGCGGCGGGAGCAGCAGCUGGCCGCGCGGGAGAUCGACGUGCUGGAGCGCGAGCUCAACAUCCUCAUCUUCCAGCUGAGCCAGGAGAGGCCCAACGUCAAGAAGAGGAAGGGCAAGUUUAAGAGGAGCCGCCUGAAGCUCAAAGACGGGCGUCGGAUCAGUUUACCUUCAGAUUUCCAGCACAAAAUAACCGUGCAGGCCUCCCCCAACUUGGACAAACGGAGGAGCCUGAACAGCAGCAGCUUCAGUACACCGAGCAGCCCCACGGUGAUCCCCCGACUCCGGGCCAUACAGCUGACCUCAGAUGAAAGCAAUAAAACUUGGGGCAGGAACACGGUCUGUCGACAAGAAGAAUUUGAAGAUGUAAAAAGGAAUUUCAAGAAAAAGGGUUGUACCUGGGGUCCAAAUUCCAUUCAAAUGAAAGAAAGAACUGACUGCAAAGAAAGAAUAAGACCUCUCUCAGAUGGCAACAGUCCUUGGUCAACCAUCUUAAUAAAAAAUCAGAAAACCGUGCCGUUGGCUUCAUUAUUUGUGGACCAGUCAGGGGCAUGUGAAGAGCCACAACUUGCCCCAGACGGAUUGGAACACAGGAAACCAAAGCAGAUAAAAUCACCGAGUCAAGCCUACAUCGAUCUCCCUCUUUGGAAAGAUGGCCAGAGAGAGAAUCUGGUGGAACCCGAAAGCUGGGAGGAGAGAACCCCGGUGAGCCCUGCCACCAGCAUUCCUCAGGGGACCCCUCCGAACAGUCUGAGCAGAUCCCCCCAGAGGAAGAAGACAGAGUCUGCUCUGUACGGCUGCACCGUGCUGCUGGCGUCGGUGGCUCUGGGCCUGGACAUCAGAGAGCUCGCGAAAGCACAGGCUGCUGAAGACCCGUUGCCCAAGGAAGAAAGGAAGAAACGCGAGGGCAUCUUCCAGCGGGCGCCUAAGUCCCGGAGCAGUGCCAGCUCCGCCACUAGGCUGCCAGCCGCAGGCGAGGGGACCAGCAGCCCAUCCCCGCUCCCUCCGUCCAGCGCCGUGAACCUCCUGUCCAUGCCUUCUCUCUCCACCAAGUGCCUGCUGCAGACUGAUGGCGAAGAUUCCUUCGAGAGCAGCACACACGUCCCUUGUGACCCCAAGGUGCCCAUUCCGGAUCCUUGCCCUGCCUUUGGAAGGAGGGAUCAGGAGUCAACCCCCGUGCCAGGACUGGAGACCCAUCGUGGUGUGUGGGGAAACCUGUCUCCUCCCUUCACGGUUCCAGCACGUGCGGACGCAUCUUACGCUGCUUCUUCAAAAGAAAGAGCAGCACAUCACCGACGGACCAUGUCUGAUGGAAGUGCUUCUCAGCCCCCAGCUGGUGCAGCUCUCAUCUCAGCCCCCGGAGCCUCUCAGCUGCCCCCUGAGUGGGUUUGGGGGACGUCCCCCUCGCCGCCUGGACCCCAUAGUGACCUGCCAAGUGAGGUCCCACCCGAAAAACAGAGAGCUGUCCAUAUGAUGCCUCUGCCCCGUCCUCCCCACCUAAGAAGCCAGCAUUUUUACCAUGGUCUGUGUUGAUGUGGAUCUCUGCAUAUAUCGUACUUGGAGUUUGUUUAAUUUCUUGGAUGUGUAGAUGUUUUCCAGCAAAGUUAAGGAUGCUGGAUGGGUCAGAUGAGGAAGGCAAAGAGAAGAAACCUGAAGAAGGCUUUCCGGGAAAGAGUGAGAAAUGCAGAAGGUGAUGGAAAGAGGACGGAUGGCUCACCUAGGUAAGAAACAUCCAGAAGAUUACAAGGCAAUGGAAGAUAACAUAAACUCCCCAAAUAUCUUCCCUUAAUCCAUAACAAUUUUUUUAAAUUUAUUUAUUUAAUUUAUUUAUGUUUGGCUAUGUUGGGUCUUCGUUGCUGUGUGUGGGCUUUCUCUAGUUGCGGCGAGCGGAGACUACUCUUCUUUGUGGUGCAUGGGCUUCUCAUUGUGGUGGCUUCUCUUGUUGCGGAGCAUGGGCUCUUGGUGCACGGGCUUCAGUAGUUGUGGCACACAGGCUCAGUAAUUGUGGCACGCAGGCUCAGUAGUUGUGGCACACGGGUUUAGUUGCUCCACAGCAUGUGAGAUCCUCCCGGACCAGGGCUCAAACCCACGUCCCCUGCGUUGGCAGGUGGAUUCUUAACCACUGCACCACCAGGGAAGCCCAAUAACAACUUUUAAAGAACUAAAUACUAAAAACUUUUUUAAGAACAUAAAGCUAAACUUUUCAGGCUAAUAUUGUCUCAGAAUUACGGCAUUCCCUAGAGCUAUCAGCACUUCUUUCCCUCCUAACUGGAAGUGGAUGCUCAACAAUUUUAUUCAAAGGAGCAGCCCUAUUGAGUUCUGCCUCCCUGGGAAAUCCCAAGGGCGUCAAAGGAGUCAAAGGAAUGAGCAUGACCAUGACCCAGAGCACGCCCCUACUCAUUACUCUUCCUCCUUUCUGUGCUUUGCUACAGUGUGAAGGAAGAUACAGCAUAAAGGCACAAACCAGACAUGGUUCUGCAUAUGCCUAAAACCAGAGGACAGGGAACUAAUAUUAUAUUUUGCCAUUAUCUGAUCUUAGACAUUCUGGUUAAUUUUCUAACCUCAGUGGCCAUCUAGCCUCUUGCCACUCCCUUACCAGUGGUGUGUGGACCCGUGUCUACAAUGUCAUUUCCCUCCGGUGUCAGUUCAUCCUGGCACUGUUCGUUUAGUGGCAGGAGAAAGCCCCAGAGCACAUCUGUAGAGAUAGCCAGAAACAGAUCGCUGAUGAGGACAUGUACGUAGGAGGUAGUUUUCUCCUUCUGGAGCACUGUCUCUCCAGGAGGUUUUAACUUAGUCUAUUAAGGAAUGUUUUCCACAGGAAAUACAUACCCAAUGUUAUUACAUAAGUCUGUAGGAAAACAUGUUAUUUGAAAAAGAGGGCUUCCCUGGUGGCGCAGUGGUUAAGAAUCCACCUGCCAAUGCAGGGGACUUGGGUUCGAGCCCUGGUCCAGGAGGAUCCCACAUGCCGCGGAGCAACUAAGCCCGUGAGCCACAACUACUGAGCCCGUGUGCCACAACUACAGAAGCCCGCACACCUGGAGCCCGUGCUCCGCAAUAAGAGAAGUCACUGCAAUGAGAAGCCCGGGCACCGCAAAGAAGAGUAGCCCGCUCACCACAACUAGAGAAAGCCCUCGCGCAGCAACGAAGACCCAAUGCAGCCAAAAAUAAAGAAAAGAAAAGAAAAAAGAAAAACAGAUUCCCCUACAAGAAUACAUUUUUUUUAAGUAAGUUUGAUCAUGUGACUUGGUUGUGGGACAGCUCUAAAACUAGAAAAAUCUCUACAUUUUCUGGUUUAAUAAGUAUUGAAUUUUUCAAUAAACCAGGCCUUUUUCUCUGGAACAGGUCAUUAUUUCUAGAGGUAUAAACAUGAGUCAAAUCAAUGGAGUUGGUCAUAAUUUUUCCUCCAAUCUGUAUUUUGCCCAAACUCAGCUGUUUCAAAAAUUGAAGCAUCCUGUUUGCCUUGCUUGCUUUGGGCUUUCUGCUUUCUGGACACUAGAUGGUACUAUAUACAUAUUAUUUCACAAGACAAGGACCACCAACCUAGCUUGGUUAUUUGAAGAAUUACAGCCAUAUACCCUUAGGAGAAAAAGGAAAAAUAAUGGAUGUGAUUUGAGAAAGUAUUAGAAAGAUGAGGAGAGGGGAGGAAAAUGAUUUUCCAGCAACAGUUACAGAGAAACAAGAAGAUGAUCUUCACUUUUUUUUAUUUUAUUGAAGUGCAGUUGAUUUACAAUGUUAUGUUAAUUUCUUCUGUAGAGCAAAGUGACUCAGUUAAACAUAUAUAUUAUUAUAUCUAUAUUAUAUACUUUUUCAUAUUCUUUUCCAUUAUGGUUUGUCACAGGACAUUGACUAUAGCUCCCUGUGCUAUAUACAAGGAUGAUCUUUAUAAAGUGAUCUUUUUUUAUACAUCUGUUCCAAAGAGGGAGACAAGCAAGGAGCUUCAGAGCCGUAAGCUAGGUCAAAUCUCCAAAUGUGUAUCUCCAGCAUAGGCAGGAUUGAAUCAAAUGUCUCGAGUACUAGGUGUCCCACCAUCAUUAGACACUGAAAACAGAAUUCUGUUUUCAGUGUUCUCAGAGCCAAGGUAUCAACAUAACACAGUCCUGACUAUGUCGUUGGAGGUCUGAAUCUAACCACGUCCGAAGUUAGCCCUACAGCAAGAAUUUUCAGUUGUGUGAUCCAAUGUGUUCCCUUUUCACUUAAGCCAGCUUGAGUGUGUUGUACUCUGGCAACUGCAAGCACAUUUGCAGGGCUAUAUCUGAUGAACUGGGAUGAACAGAGAACAAACUGGACAGAGUAAACAGUCAACAUACACAUGCAGGAGUGAGUUAUGCUUAUGUUUAUAACUUGGGUCAAGUGUUCAAAUGUGACAAAAUUAUUCUCUUCAGAAAAAUAGAUGCUCAGGAUAUCCCAUUAGCUGCAGCAGGAGUCUUAAAGUGAUGCUAGAUAUUAUAGGCUAGUAGAUAGUAAGACGAAUUGCUAAAGAGAUUCUGCAGGUUUGGCACAAAAUGCUCAGCUAUAUUCUAUGUGGAUAAUUUGAUAGGAUUCUAUAAGAUCAUCUUGCUGAUGAACUUUCUCUCUUACAUAGGAAUGCUUCAGAGUUACUCCGUCCAAAUAAAGGAUUUUCUCAUCUUUGAAGAUUCUUUGUAGGUGUUAACUUUCCCCGUGGUAGCAAUAGUCACGAAGCUGGAGUCAUAAUUUGUGAACUCUGGGUCUGCUCUAGAGAUGAAUUUCAACAGAACACUCAGGCUUCUUUAAAUGAUAUUUAAUUAGAUAAAUACAUUGAAUUAAAAUAAAAUUUAAUGAAAAUGACAAUCUAAGACAGCCUCAAGGAAACAGAUAAUUCAUUUCUUCUUCUUUAGCAUUUUCAGAGACUGAAUACAGUUAAGAAAUGUAACAGUUAAUUUGUGGUUGUGAUAGCCAAUUUGCAAAUGAAUCGUUAAAAAAAUCAUUUCUUUCAUACUUAAUAGAAAUGAAUUUAGUGAGUUCACAUCCCUAAAGAUAAGGACACUUUUUGGGACUGCCCUGGUGGUGCAGUGGUUAAGAAUCCACCUGCCAAUGCAGGGGACACGGGUUCGAGCCCUGGUCCGGGAAGAUAUGGUCCGGGAAGAUCCCGCAUGCCGCAGAGCAACUAAGCCCGUGCACCACAACUACUGAGCCUGCGCUCUAGAGCCCAUGAGCCACAACUACUGAGCCUCCGUGCCGCAACUGCUGAAGCCCGUGUACCUAGAGCCUGUGUUCUGCAGCAAGAAAAGCCACCUCAAUGAGAAGCCCGCACACCGCAAUGAAGAGUAGCGCCCGCUUGCCUCAACUAGAGAAAGCCCGUGCGCAACGAAGACCCAAUGUGGCCAAAAAUAAAUAAAAUUUAUUUUAAAAAAUAAUAAUAAGGACAUUUUUCAUUCUGAAGCUUGAAAACUCCUUGUUUUCCUUGAAGGUGCCCUAGCUUGCCUCUCUGUGCUUUGUUUAUCUCUGUGAAGACCUCCUCUGAACAGUCUUACCCUGUGAUUCCCCUUCCCUCUCAGGACUUUGCUCCAUCAGUCAGGUCCUUCCUUUUCACAUUUAGUUUCUUUCUAUCUGUUGAGCCUGCAAUGGUUAAUGUUAUAUGCAUCAGCCUGAUUGGGUCACAAAGUGCCCAGAUAUUUGGUCAAACAUUAUCCUGGGUGUUUCUCUCAAUAGAUAGAUGAUAGAUAGAUAGAUAGAUAGAUAGAUAGAUAGAUAGAUAGAUAGAAUAUAUACAUAUAUAUUCUACUGGCUCUGUUUCUCUGAAGAAUCUUGACUAAUACAGGAUCCUUCUCUAUCUUAAAAAGCAAGAAAAAGGAAGAAAAAGAAAAGAAAGAUGAGUGAAUCUUGUUGCCUCUUAGAAAGAUAAAGUAAAAUUUGUCAUCUUAUUGGGCCCCAACACCAUCUCUGGCAGUCAUCUUCCUUUUCCCCAUUUCAACUUCUCUCUUAGGUAUCUGUGGUCUGUGGUCGCUCUCCCACUUCUUAAUUCCUGGCUUUUGGAUCCCUUACAAAUCUGGCUUCUCCCCUCUCCACACAAACUGUAGCCUUGAAGGAAAUCAGUGACCUCUGGAUUGCAAAGGUCUGUAUCCCUUUUCAGUCCUUAUUCUUUUGGCCUCUUCUGUGCUAACAUGGCCAAUGAAAGGUUCCUUUAAAAUUGCAAAAGUUUCCUUUCAGGAAAUUUGAAAAGUUCUGAAAAGUGCAGAGGAGGAAAAACCUCACCUGUAAUCACAAUACUCAGAGAUAACUACUUGUUGGUGUUUUUGGUUCAUCUUCUUCCUAUAUUUUUUCCCAUAGUAUACAUACUGUUUUAGAUCAAAUUUGUGAUCAUACUACAUGUCCUUUGAACAUCUGUUUUCCUUUUACGUUGAAUAUAUUAUGGAUAUUUCUCCAUGCCAAUAAAUAUUCUUCUGCAAUAAUUUUUUUCAUGCCAGCGAAUCUGAUCAUCAUAUUGAUACAUUAAAACUUAUUUUUGGGCUUCCCUGGUGGCGCAGUGGUUGAGAGUCCGCCUGCCGAUGCAGGAGACACGGGUUCGUGUCCCGGUCCGGGAAGAUCCCACAUGCCACGGAGCGGCUGGGCCCGUGAGCCAUGGCCGCUGAGCCUGCGCGUCCAGAGCUUGUGCUCCGCAACGGGAGAGGCCACAACAGU
Orcinus orca (killer whale) is the source of this 8309-nucleotide RNA transcript. It is a transcript of the gene named mitogen-activated protein kinase kinase kinase 21, with no coding region annotated. The transcript has 13 exons. The record is from RefSeq and is a predicted model, not a curated record. NCBI's taxonomy places the organism in Eukaryota, Metazoa, Chordata, Mammalia, Artiodactyla, Delphinidae.